AGUCAUUAAGCAAAUGUGGUCGUUAAGAGAAACCCUUUAUCCAACGGCCAGUUUUUUGCUGGAAACCGGAAGUAAAUGUCAGAAACCAGCAAAAAAAAACAUGAUGAUUGUGAUCAUGUGACAUUGCAAAUGGCCAUAAAGGUGAUCUAGUUGCCAAAUGCCCAAUAUGCAGUGGCAUGACCAUGGGGGGAAGGGGUUGUGUAGCUGCCAUAACUUCAAAAUUGGAUCAUAAGUAACUUUUGGAGAGACUGUCAUAUCUUCAAGUGGUUGCUAAGUGAGGACUACUUGUAAUUUUAAAAGUAUGUAAACUUUUUACACUUUUUUUGUUUUGUUUUCCAUUUCCCUCUCAAGGAACAAGAUGAGAAAAGAAUCAAAACCGAAGCCAAAGAAGUGUCUGAGAUAAAAGAAGAAGUAAAUCAGAUUAAAACUGUAACUCCUGUUAAAACGACCCCUCCCAAGUGCAUGGAAUGCAGGCAAUACUUGGACGACCCUGAUCUGAAGUUCUUUCAAGGGGAUCCAGAUGAUGCAGUAAGUUGGCCCACUUUUGCAGCUGAAAAACUUCCUCAUUUGGAGGAAAAAAAUAAUACUAAUUGUAACUGAACAUAUAC
Thamnophis sirtalis is the source of this 608-nucleotide non-coding RNA. The record is from RefSeq and is a predicted model, not a curated record. NCBI's taxonomy places the organism in Eukaryota, Metazoa, Chordata, Lepidosauria, Squamata, Natricidae.